CCUACGGGAGGCAGCAGUGGGGAAUAUUGCACAAUGGGGGAAACCCUGAUGCAGCGACGCCGCGUGAGGGAAGAAGUAUCUCGGUAUGUAAAGCUCUAUCAGCAGGGACGAAAAUGACGGUACCUGACUAAGAAGCCCCGGCUAACUACGUGCCAGCAGCCGCGGUAAUACGUAGGGGGCAAGCGUUAUCCGGAUUUACUGGGGGUAAAGGGGGCGUAGACGGCAGCACAAGUCUGGAGUGAAAUGCCGGGGCUUAACCCCGGAACUGCUUUGGAAACUGUGCGGCUAGAGUGCAGGAGGGGUAAGCGGAAUUCCUAGUGUAGCGGUGAAAUGCGUAGAUAUUAGGAGGAACACCGGUGGCGAAGGCGGCUUGCUGGACUGUAACUGACGUUGAGGCUCGAAAGCGUGGGGAUCAAACAGGAUUAGAUACCCUUGUAGUC
This 440-nucleotide ribosomal RNA is filed under the name uncultured bacterium. Its description in RNAcentral is "partial 16S ribosomal RNA". It matches the Rfam family "Bacterial small subunit ribosomal RNA", at positions 338 to 795 of the family's 1533-position model. The record is from RNAcentral.